UACCUACGACAUCUAGAACUUCUUAUCUUCACGCGAGAGGUAGUGUGUGCUAGCACGAGCUUGUGCCUACGGCAUCUUGCACUUUCAGCAGCCUUCUGAGAGUCUGAUUAGUUAUCCCUCUAGAGAUUCUCUAAGGUUCUCCUUCUGCUUCUCGAGCGACUCGGGCUUUGCAGGGAUCUUGUAAGUUAGCACCACCUCAAAGUCGUCAAGGUCUUUUCGAGGGUUUGAUAAGUUAGCCCUCACGAGUGGUGUUGUGUGCAUGCGGCAAUCUUG
Molecule: long non-coding RNA, 273 nt
Filed under: Elaeis guineensis (African oil palm)
Lineage: Eukaryota; Viridiplantae; Streptophyta; Magnoliopsida; Arecales; Arecaceae
Description: long non-coding RNA (EGUI_LNC012192)
Source: RNAcentral